Oryctolagus cuniculus (rabbit) is the source of this 1780-nucleotide long non-coding RNA. NCBI's taxonomy places the organism in Eukaryota, Metazoa, Chordata, Mammalia, Lagomorpha, Leporidae. The record is from Ensembl.
AAAACAUGUCCAAAUCAACUUCAUAACCGUCUCAGUCCUCAUUUUAUAAAACACAACAUUUUCUUGACGCUACCAGCAGCAUCACUUCUGUCAGCCACUAGCCUCGUAAAAUGAACGAAUCCAUAAUCACCCCUCUACGGGAAGGAGGUCGAUUUCAAUGACUAUCUAAUAAAGGAAUAAAUUCAGCGUUAAAAAAAAAUCAGAAUCCCUAAGAACCCUAGAGGCAAAUGCCAAAGGAAAUCUGAUCUGAUGAAAGCAGGUUUUUUUUUUUUUUUUAUAAGGGAGGCUUUAUUUUCUUUUUUCCCAAAGACAAAACUGCAUUUUAAAAAUGGUCGUUUGGUUUAUCGACGAAUCUCUAUUUAAGGAACUGAAUACAGAACUGAUUAUACAGCUGGGAAAACUUCUCCACUGCAACGCACUCUGAAAUGGUCUGAUUUGGUGGAAAGCUUGAAUCAGGCCGAAGCGGAUGGUUUUGCAACUCUGACGUGCUUAAUUACUUUCAACGCAGAGCCAGCCAGGAACUCAUUCUUUUACCUGCGGAGUCCGGGAGAACGCACCCCACAGCUGAUGAAGAUGGUUUGUAAUGAGCGGCUCAUCUGCGCACUAGUUGAGAAGGGCUGCGCUCCUCCUAUCCAAUUGGCUGCUUCUCCUCCGAGCACUGCUCAGGGAUGCUGGGGCUUCCCAGCCCCUCUCUCUCACCACACUGCCUUUGGUAAGAGCACCCAGUUGCAGGCUGCGCGGACCACUGCCCAGCCAGGAGCUUUACCCCCGGGCCCCGGCGUCUGGAUGUCUGUUAGGCCUCACCUGCCUUCCUGCCAUCACCCCUUCUCUCUUUUAAGCCAUGAGCAGCACUGGCCACCCACUCCCCAGCCUGAAACCUGGGAGCCCCCUCCGGGCGCCCUGCUGCCUCUCAGCUCAGCAUCCCGGCCACCCGGAGCUGCCUGCGUUGGUUCUCAUGUCUCUCUCCAUUUCAGCCCAAGGCACUGCCUCCCUGGGGAUGGCUCCCUCCUCUCCACCCCCACUACUUCCCUUGUCCCGCAGGAUGCAGCCAAAGGAAUGUUUCUAGAACACACACAGCCUGUCACAGCACCUGCACCAGGCUUGCAGGCCUGAGGCCAGGGCCAGGGGAAGAACCCGUGAUCACCUGUGAUCACCUGUGAUCACCCCCUGUGGCCCGGCAGUGUCAGAAAUGAGCUGACAAACAGCAAGCCGAACUCGAGCAAAACUCAAACAACCCUGGCCUUGCAUUCUGGCACAGUCACUUCUUAGCUGCGCCGUUCCUGGCAGUGUUGAAAGCCUCUUGGGAGCCCCAUUGCUCUGAAAGGGGGGUAAUAUGCGAUUCCUUCCUGAAAAACUUGUCUGUAAGUAAAAUGAAGCAGUGUGGUAUAGCAGGAAGUGCAAGCUGGGUCCUUCAUUUAAAUUUUGUUUUUCUGAAAUUAAUUAUUUUAUUUCAAAUAGAGCAAGAGAGAGAUGGUCCAUCCACUGGUUCACCCCCCAAAUGCCUACCAUGGCUGGGACUGCGCCAGGCUGAAGUCAGGAUCCAGGAACUCGAUCUAAGAGUCCCACAUACGUGACAGGGCCCAACUACUUGAGCCACUAUCUGCUGCCGCACGAAGUGUAUCCUGGGGAAGCUGGAAUUGGGAGCAGAGCCAGGGCUCAAACGCACACCCAGGCACUCGAGCAUGGAGUGUGGGAAGCUGAACCAUUCUCCCUCCCUGUCCUACUCUUUGGAACGAAAUUUUGUAGCUCUCAGAAGCGCUUCUUGGAUGAAACACUCGCU